GGGAAAUGCACAGCGUUGAACUUAAAAAGCAAAAGCCAAUGAGGAGCACAAACUUUAUUUCUUCUUACAACAACCAAAAUCGUUUUUAUUUGAGAAAAGCCACCAGCACACCUUCACAGCAGAAAAGAUACACCAAAGUAAUGCAGGUCAGGGGGUCAAAGGUGAAGGGUCACACAUUAUUAAAAAGAAAUCCAAAAGGACGUCUGCAUCAAGAUCUCUCAUUAGUGUUCCAGCGGUGCCUCUCCUUGGGUAAACUUGAACAUUUUGGUAGACAUUCGAGCAGCUUCUUCGGUAAAAAGAUUUUUACAUGACUGCCAUUGCUGUUCCCAUGAUCAUCUUUUUGUUCUACCCAGCAUUUCUUCAAGAGCACUGUCAUCUCUGGCUUUGGCAUCCUACUCAUCAUCUACGAAUUCAUGUUGCCGUUUCCUUCCGCGGGAUCCGCGCCCGCCGCCGCGCGCCGCACUUCACGGCUCCCGGGGCGGGGCCUGCCCGCG
Molecule: long non-coding RNA, 494 nt
Filed under: Gallus gallus (chicken)
Lineage: Eukaryota; Metazoa; Chordata; Aves; Galliformes; Phasianidae
Source: RNAcentral